AUGGUGAAGCCGYGAAUGGCUCAUUACAACAGCCGUUGUUUCUUGGAUCUUGAUUUACUUGGAUAACUGUGGUAAUUCUAGAGCUAAUACAUGCACUGAAGCUCCAACCUUGUGGGAGGAGCGCAUUUAUUAGACCAAAACCAAUCAGGCUUUGCCUGUGAUCUGGUGACUCUGAAUAACUUUGCUGAUCGCAYGGUCMUAGUACCGGUGACAUAUCUUUCAAGUGUCUGCCCUAUCAACUUUCGAUGGUAGUUUAUGUGCCUACCAUGGUGGUAACGGGUAACGGAGAAUAAGGGUUCGACUCCGGAGAGGGAGCCUGAGAAAUGGCUACCACAUCCAAGGAAGGCAGCAGGCGCGCAAAUUACCCACUCUCAGCACGAGGAGGUAGUGACGAAAAAUAACGAGAYGGUUCUCUAUGAGGCCCAUCAUCGGAAUGGGUACAAUUUAAACCCUUUAACGAGGAUCUAUUGGAGGGCAAGUCUGGUGCCAGCAGCCGCGGUAAUUCCAGCUCCAAUAGCAUAUACCAAUACUGUUGC
RNAcentral lists this ribosomal RNA (536 nucleotides) under Paradesmodora sp. 201796745. RNAcentral's name for it is "SSU rRNA". It matches the Rfam family "Eukaryotic small subunit ribosomal RNA", at positions 78 to 618 of the family's 1831-position model. Lineage: Eukaryota; Metazoa; Nematoda; Chromadorea; Desmodorida; Desmodoridae. The record is from RNAcentral.